Molecule: ribosomal RNA, 623 nt
Filed under: Nasutixalus jerdonii (Jerdon's tree frog)
Lineage: Eukaryota; Metazoa; Chordata; Amphibia; Anura; Rhacophoridae
Description: partial large subunit ribosomal RNA
Rfam family: Bacterial large subunit ribosomal RNA
Source: RNAcentral
UUAUCGUCAACCUUACACUAGAACAUUUCUGGAAAGAUUAAAAGAGAAAAAAGGAACUCGGCAAAUUUCAACCCCGCCUGUUUACCAAAAACAUCGCCUCUUGAUAAAAUAUAAGAGGUCUAGCCUGCCCAGUGAAUAAAUUCAACGGCCACGGUACAUUAACCGUGCAAAGGUAGCAUAAUCACUUGUUCUUUAAAUAGGGACUAGUAUCAACGGCAUCACGAGGGUUGCACUGUCUCCUUUCUCCAAUCAGUGAAACUGAUCUUCCUGUGAAAAAGCAGGAAUACACCUAUAAGACGAGAAGACCCCAUGGAGCUUUAAAUCUAUGGCAACUCAGUUACAUAUUCAAUAAAAACACAGAGCCGUGCCUAUCGGUUUUAGGUUGGGGCGACCACGGAGCAAAAAUUAACCUCCGUAACGAAAAGAACUAAAUCUUUAUCCAAGAAUCACCACCUCUAAGAAUUAGCACACUAACGUAAAAUGACCCGAUAUUCGAUCAACGAACUUAGUUACCCUGGGGAUAACAGCGCAAUCCACUUCGAGAGUUCAUAUCGACAAGUGGGCUUACGACCUCGAUGUUGGAUCAGGGUUCCCAAGUGGUGCAGCCGCUACUAAAGGUUCGU